Molecule: ribosomal RNA, 425 nt
Filed under: uncultured bacterium
Lineage: Bacteria
Description: partial 16S ribosomal RNA
Rfam family: Bacterial small subunit ribosomal RNA
Source: RNAcentral
GUGGGGAAUCUUGCGCAAUGGGCGAAAGCCUGACGCAGCCAUGCCGCGUGAAUGAUGAAGGUCUUAGGAUUGUAAAAUUCUUUCACCGGGGACGAUAAUGACGGUACCCGGAGAAGAAGCCCCGGCUAACUUCGUGCCAGCAGCCGCGGUAAUACGAAGGGGGCGAGCGUUAUUCGGAAUCACUGGGCGUAAAGCGUGCGUAGGCUGUUUUGUAAGUCAGAAGUGAAAGCCCAGGGCUUAACCCUGGAAUUGCUUUUGAAACUACAAGACUCGAAUUCGGGAGAGGAUAGCGGAAUUGUCAGUGUAGCAGUGAAAUGCGUAGAUAUUGACAGGAACACCAGUGGCGCAAGCGGCUAUCUGGACCGAUAUUGACGCUGAGGCACGAAAGCGUGGGGAGCAAACAGGAUUAGAAACCCGGGUAGUCC